Molecule: ribosomal RNA, 440 nt
Filed under: uncultured bacterium
Lineage: Bacteria
Description: partial 16S ribosomal RNA
Rfam family: Bacterial small subunit ribosomal RNA
Source: RNAcentral
CCUACGGGGGACAGCAGUGGGGAAUAUUGCACAAUGGGGGAAACCCUGAUGCAGCAACGCCGCGUGAGUGAAGAAGUAUUUCGGUAUGUAAAGCUCUAUCAGCAGGGAAGAAGAUGACGGUAUCUGAAUACGAAGCCCCGGCUAACUACGUGCCAGCAGCCGCGGUAAUACGUAGGGGGCAAGCGUUAUCCGGAUUUACUGGGUGUAAAGGGAGCGCAGACGGCAGUGCAAGUCUGGAGUGAAAGCCCGGGGCCGAACCCCGGAACUGCUCCGGAAACUGGGCGGCGAGAGUACUGGAGGGGGAGGCGGAAUGCCUAGUGUAGCGGUGAAAUGCGUAGAUAUUAGGAGGAACACCAGUGGCGAAGGCGGCCUGCUGGACAAUAACUGACGUUGAGGCGCGAAAGCGUGGGGAGCAAACAGGAUUAGAUACCCGUGUAGUC